Molecule: long non-coding RNA, 1065 nt
Filed under: Sus scrofa (pig)
Lineage: Eukaryota; Metazoa; Chordata; Mammalia; Artiodactyla; Suidae
Description: lncRNA (ENSSSCG00070013804.1)
Source: RNAcentral
GUGGGCGUGGCUACGGGCAUUGGCCACGCCCCCAGAGAGGCGGGCUUGCGCCGGCGGGAUUGCCGUCGGGAGCCCCAGAGAAGGGCUAGGUGUUAGGGCCGGGUUGCAGCGCCCCUUGACUCUACUGCGAGGGUGAAAUAACGGAGGUUGGCGCGCCAGCGCACGGGUUGAAUAGGAGUUAUCCUUUACUGCAGCUGCAGUCGGCCCUCGCCCAGCGCCAGCCCCGCUGCAGAGCACUUGGCGGAGUCCGGCAGGAGGUCUCCCACGGAAAUGUUCCCUCCGCCAAAAUGAAGAUGUCUCAGAGCCCUAAAGAACCAGGAAAAGACAAAGAAGCAUAUUUUUUUCGAACAUUCAGUUUCUGGGAGCUGGGUAACUUCCUGAAUGACACGAAUGACCUGGAUAAUUUCAGGGUCAUCUCGCAAAUCAGGGGGCGAUCGGAUCUGAUUUUAAGAUGUGUAACCUUAUGCCUGUGUUCCAGAAAGUGGGAGCAUAUGGCAUUGCUCAUCUUUCUAACUCAACACUCCAGCUCUCUGGACCUUUUAAUUUUCUUAUGCAGCUGUGUAUAGACCUUCACCCCCGCUUUGAUCUAGUUUUUUCCUAUCUUUGAUACCUCAGUGCUCAGCUCAGAGUGGUAGACCUCAAAGUGGCCACAAGCUCUUCCCCGCACACUCCCCCCUUUGCCUUGUGGCUUUGCCUGAUCUCCCAGCAAGGAGUGGGCCCUGUUCCCCCACUUGUCUCUGGGCCUUGCACAUGUAAAUUGCUCUGGCUGAAGGGAUCUUAUAAGACAGGAAGCGGAGCUGCUGCUAUGGUUCAUCGGGUUAAGAACCCAGCAGUGUCCAUAGUCUCUGUGAGGAUGCAGGUUUGAUCCCUGGCCUCACUCAGCGGUUAAGGAUCCAUCGUUGCUGAAAGCUGGUCACAGACGAAUGGCCCAGAUCCAUUGCUGCUGCUGGUGUAAGCCAGCAGCUGCAGCUCCUGUUUGACCCCAACCAGUGAACUUCCAUAUGCCACAGGUGUGGCCGUAAAAAGAAAAAUAAAAUGAAAUAAAAUAGGAAGCUAUUGAGAGGU